CAGCCAUAUAGAAUUGAAACACUGGUUCCUGUACAAUCACUGAAGUUAAGCAAUGUCGAGUCUGGUCAGUACCUAGCUGGGUGACCACUUGGAAAUACCAGGUGCUGUAA
This 110-nucleotide ribosomal RNA is filed under the name Acanthosepion pharaonis. The record is from RNAcentral. Lineage: Eukaryota; Metazoa; Mollusca; Cephalopoda; Sepiida; Sepiidae.